This 71-nucleotide transfer RNA is filed under the name Candidatus Pacearchaeota archaeon. Its description in RNAcentral is "tRNA-Trp". It matches the Rfam family "tRNA". From Rfam's summary of the family: Transfer RNA (tRNA) molecules are approximately 80 nucleotides in length. Their secondary structure includes four short double-helical elements and three loops (D, anti-codon, and T loops). Lineage: Archaea; Nanobdellati. The record is from RNAcentral.
GGGUGUAUAGUUCAAUGGUAGAACACGAGCCUCCAGAGCUUGAGAUGGGGAUUCGAUUUCCCCUGCGCCCA